UACGUAGGGACCAAGCGUUGUUCGGAUUUACUGGGCGUAAAGGGCGCGUAGGCGGCCCUACAAGUCACUUGUGAAAUCUCUGGGCUUAACUCAGAACGGCCAAGUGAAACUGUAGAGCUAGAGUGUGGAAGGGGCAAUCGGAAUUCUUGGUGUAGCGGUGAAAUGCGUAGAUAUCAAGAGGAACACCUGAGGUGAAGACGGGUUGCUGGGCCAACACUGACGCUGAGGCGCGAAAGCCAGGGGAGCAAACGGG
Molecule: ribosomal RNA, 253 nt
Filed under: uncultured bacterium
Lineage: Bacteria
Description: partial 16S ribosomal RNA
Rfam family: Bacterial small subunit ribosomal RNA
Source: RNAcentral